UCGGUCGUUGUGCAUAAAGUU
RNAcentral lists this non-coding RNA (21 nucleotides) under Caenorhabditis elegans. Lineage: Eukaryota; Metazoa; Nematoda; Chromadorea; Rhabditida; Rhabditidae. The record is from RNAcentral.